Long non-coding RNA from Zingiber officinale, 459 nucleotides. RefSeq lists it as uncharacterized. Lineage: Eukaryota; Viridiplantae; Streptophyta; Magnoliopsida; Zingiberales; Zingiberaceae. The record is from RefSeq and is a predicted model, not a curated record. The transcript is spliced from 3 exons.
GUUCCGUCCUCUGUGACAUAAUCCCUACCCGAUGUAUUCAUAUAGCAGGCCUCACAUGCCAUCCUGAUGUCGGGUUUGUGGACAAAGAAGCAGUCGCAGUUACCAGUGUGUCUCGGAAGGCAACUUUCUACAAUAGACCAAGCUCUACGGACUUCAUAAAUGUCCAUGACAUUUUUCUUGAAUGUGAUCAUGAUUCAAUCAUAUACCUUGGGAAGUCUGUUGAACCAACAAUAUAUGAUCUUUUGGGUGAUCAAGAGGUUUGUAAUCUGGACUUUUCUGAAAACUUUGUAAUAUCUUCUUUCUGCUAUGCUUCUUGGUUAUUUUGGAAUCUUUCUGCCACAAUUUUGCAAUGCAAGGUUGAAAUCUGCUUGUUGAAAAAUGGAAAACCAUCAUGGACGAAGAAGAAGUUUCUUUGCUCCAAAGUCAGGUUGUUGCGUCUUAAGACUGGCUCGAGGUGAC